AGACCCGAAACCCGGUGAUCUAGCCAUGGGCAGGUUGAAGGUUGGGUAACACUAACUGGAGGACCGAACCGACUAAUGUUGAAAAAUUAGCGGAUGACCUGUGGCUGGGGGUGAAAGGCCAAUCAAACCGGGAGAUAGCUGGUUCUCCCCGAAAGCUAUUUAGGUAGCGCCUCGUGAAUUCAUCUCCGGGGGUAGAGCACUGUUUCGGCUAGGGGGCCAUCCCGGCUUACCAACCCGAUGCAAACUGCGAAUACCGGAGAAUGUUAUCACGGGAGACACACGGCGGGUGCUAACGUCCGUCGUGAAGAGGGAAACAACCCAGACCGCCAGCUAAGGUCCCAAAGUCAUGGUUAAGUGGGAAACGAUGUGGGAAGGCCCAGACAGCCAGGAUGUUGGCUUAGAAGCAGCCAUCAUUUAAAGAAAGCGUAAUAGCUCACUGGUCGAGUCGGCCUGCGCGGAAGAUGUAACGGGGCUAAACCAUGCACCGAAGCUGCGGCAGCGACGUUUAUGCGUUGUUGGGUAGGGGAGCGUUCUGUAAGCCUGCGAAGGUGGCCUGUGAGGGUUGCUGGAGGUAUCAGAAGUGCGAAUGCUGACAUAAGUAACGAUAAAGCGGGUGAAAAGCCCGCUCGCCGGAAGACCAAGGGUUCCUGUCCAACGUUAAUCGGGGCAGGGUGAGUCGACCCCUAAGGCGAGGCCGAAAGGCGUAGUCGAUGGGAAACGGGU
RNAcentral lists this ribosomal RNA (723 nucleotides) under Salmonella enterica. RNAcentral describes it as "partial 23S ribosomal RNA". It matches the Rfam family "Bacterial large subunit ribosomal RNA", at positions 711 to 1430 of the family's 2925-position model. Lineage: Bacteria; Pseudomonadati; Pseudomonadota; Gammaproteobacteria; Enterobacterales; Enterobacteriaceae. The record is from RNAcentral.